GAUGAACGCUGGCGGCGUGCCUAAUACAUGCAAGUCGAGCGAACGGACGAGAAGCUUGCUUCUCUGAUGUUAGCGGCGGACGGGUGAGUAACACGUGGAUAACCUACCUAUAAGACUGGGAUAACUUCGGGAAACCGGAGCUAAUACCGGAUGAUAUUUUGAACCGCAUGGUUCAAAAGUGAAAGACGGUCUUGCUGUCACUUAUAGAUGGAUCCGCGCUGCAUUAGCUAGUUGGUAAGGUAACGGCUUACCAAGGCAACGAUGCAUAGCCGACCUGAGAGGGUGAUCGGCCACACUGGAACUGAGACACGGUCCAGACUCCUACGGGAGGCAGCAGUAGGGAAUCUUCCGCAAUGGGCGAAAGCCUGACGGAGCAACGCCGCGUGAGUGAUGAAGGUCUUCGGAUCGUAAAACUCUGUUAUUAGGGAAGAACAUAUGUGUAAGUAACUGUGCACAUCUUGACGGUACCUAAUCAGAAAGCCACGGCUAACUACGUGC
This 498-nucleotide ribosomal RNA is filed under the name uncultured bacterium. Its description in RNAcentral is "partial 16S ribosomal RNA". It matches the Rfam family "Bacterial small subunit ribosomal RNA", at positions 28 to 508 of the family's 1533-position model. The record is from RNAcentral.